ACAUCAUGUUGAAACAUUGGUUCCCAUAUGAUCAACGAAAGUUAAGCAAUGUUGAGCCUGGUCAGUACUGUGAUGGAUGACCGCUGAGGAAUACCAGUUGCUGUAAG
Non-coding RNA from Acanthosepion pharaonis, 107 nucleotides. The record is from the annotation of a GenBank genome assembly. NCBI's taxonomy places the organism in Eukaryota, Metazoa, Mollusca, Cephalopoda, Sepiida, Sepiidae.